This 482-nucleotide ribosomal RNA is filed under the name uncultured bacterium. RNAcentral describes it as "bacterial SSU rRNA". It matches the Rfam family "Bacterial small subunit ribosomal RNA", at positions 30 to 505 of the family's 1533-position model. The record is from RNAcentral.
AUUGAACGCUGGCGGCAUGCUUUACACAUGCAAGUCGAACGGCAGCACGGGUGCUUGCACCUGGUGGCGAGUGGCGGACGGGUGAGUAAUACAUCGGAACGUGUCCAGAAGAGGGGGAUAACGCAUCGAAAGAUGUGCUAAUACCGCAUAUGCUCUGAGGAGGAAAGUGGGGGAUCGAAAGACCUUACGCUUUUGGAGCGGCCGAUGUCUGAUUAGCUAGUUGGUGGGGUAAGGGCCUACCAAGGCGACGAUCAGUAGUUGGUCUGAGAGGACGACCAGCCACACUGGUACUGAGACACGGACCAGACUCCUACGGGAGGCAGCAGUGAGGAAUAUUGCGCAAUGGAGGCAACUCUGACGCAGCCAUGCCGCGUGCGUGAAGAAGGCCCUUGGGUUGUAAAGCACUUUCAAUUGGGAGAAAGGUUGCGUGUUAAUAGCACGUAGCUGUGACGUUACCUUUAGAGAAGCACCGGCUAACUCCG